GCAUUUCUCUAGAUUUGCGAAAGUAAAACUGACUAUAUAGUCCAACAGAAUAUUUAUAUACAUAUAGAAAACGAAUUUACUACACCCACUGAAUUGAUCGGUGCAUACUUCAUACAAAAGUUACAAUAUUAAAUCUUAAACUUUGAAAUGGUCAAUAUCGAUAUUAUAGGCAUACUGACCGUAUAGGUACUGCUUGCUAUAUGUAGAUUGAUAAUCUAUACAUUUAAUAAACAAUUCGAUAACGAAAACAAUAAUAAUUCAAUACCUAUAACGCAUUCUGGGUUUUUACGUUUCUUAUUAACUUAAUUUUUUAUUAUUACUAUAGUAGCAUAAAUGCAUAAUAAACAAAUAAAAAAUUCUACACCUGAAAUAACUGAAAAACGCUAAAAGAGUUAUUUUUAAACCUACAAAAAAGCCAAAAUAAAUUGGUUUAUUUGGAAUCAGAACGACGUAGAACGAAUUUAUUUAUAAAAAUUAGAAUUCUAUCUCAUAUAUAAAAAAAAGAAACGUAUGCUUUAAAAUCCGAGCCCUAAUAUGUAAAUCCCAAACUAUAGGUCCAACCACUCCAGGAUCUUGGCCACUAAUACUUUCGUGUCUUGACAUAUUAUCAACAACCCUAUAUAAUACUCGCAGCUGUUACCAAUGAAUUCAUUUCUAUUGUUAUUGUAUUAAGUUAUUUAAUAUUCAAUUGAAAAAUAAAUAGUUGUUGAGCAACUGGCUUGCACAAAAUUAUAAUGAUAUACGAAGAAAAUAAGCCGAAUCAUGCAAUUAUACCAUAUAACUUAAUUACAUAUGUACAAAAUGAUAUUAAAAUAUAUCAAACAAAUAACUAUUAAA
This is a long non-coding RNA of Aphis gossypii (cotton aphid), 837 nucleotides long. RefSeq lists it as uncharacterized. The transcript has 3 exons. NCBI's taxonomy places the organism in Eukaryota, Metazoa, Arthropoda, Insecta, Hemiptera, Aphididae. The record is from RefSeq and is a predicted model, not a curated record.